UGUAAAGUUCAAGCUCCGAUUAUGAGGGCGAACCGCGAAUGGCUCAUUAAAUCAGUCAUAAUCUACUUGAUUGUUUAAAGUUUAUAUGGAUAACUGUGGUAAUUCUAGAGCUAAUACAUGCACAAAUGGGACGACUCUAGCAAUAGAGAAGUUCUGCGUUUAUUAGACUAAGACCAAUGACUAACUUCGGUUAGUCUUAUUUAAGGUGACUCUGAGUAAAUAAUGGGUGAAAGCCCAUGUUGCUGACCUGACAUUUAAAGGUUCGCAAGAAUCUGUCAGGCAAAUCAAUCGAGUGUCUGCUCUAUCAACUGUGGAUGGUAGGAUAAUUGCCUACCAUGGUGGUGACGGGUAACGGGGAGUUAGGGCUCGACUCCGGAGAACAAGCCUGAGAAACGGCUAGUAGGACUAAGGUCUGCAGCAGGCGCGAAACUUACACAAUGCUAGAUUACAAUUAGCGAUGUAGUGAAGAAAAAUAACGAUGUACUUCCAUUUAAACAUGGUAGUACAAUUGGAAUGAGACGACUAUAAAUGAGUUAGUCGAGUAACAAAUGGAGGGCAAGUCUGGUGCCAGCAGCCGCGGUAAUUCCAGCUCCAUUAGCAUACAUUAAAGUUGUUGCGGUUAAAAAGCUCGUAGUUGAAUUUUAGGCGGGCUCUAUUGGGAUGCAAUCGUUAAGGUCUCUAUGAUUAAAUUUUCGCAAUUUGUCUAGACGACUGGUUGUAACUGCCCUAUAGGAACCCGCUGUUUCGUCACUUAAUCGAGUGCGAAGCGGGCUGGUACAAGUUUGCUUAAUUGCAUCUUUGUUUCAGCAUGUUUACCUUGAGAAAAUUAGAGUGCUCACAGCAGGCAGUUGGGGUGUAAAAGCUCCUUUAAUGCUUGAAUAAUGUUGCAUGGAAUAAUAGAAUACGGCCUCGGUUCUAUUCUGUUGGUCUUAUAGAACAACAAACAAGUUGGUUAAGGCGACCAAAAGUCCAUUUGUGAGUGUGGGCUACGAUAUAUUUGAGUCAGUUUGUAUGAUAGUUCUUGUUGUCUUUGGAUAAAACCUUAGUACCCUAGCUACUUAUAUUAAACCCUCUAAAUUGUCUAGCUCAUUUAAAGCAUUCCUUAUGUGGCUAGCCUUCUAAUCAACUGAGGCAAUGGUUAAAAGAAUAGUCGCGGCGGCAUCAGUACUGCAUCGUGAGAGGUGAAAUUCUUAGACCGAUGCAAGACUAACUGAAGCGAAAGCGUUUGCCGAGGAUAUUUUCAUUAAUCAAGAACGAAAGUUAGAGGUUCGAAGGCGAUCAGAUACCGCCCUAGUUCUAACCAUAAACGUUGCCAACUAGCAAUUGGGUUGCGAUUCCUUUAAUCGAAGCUUAAAACACUUCGAUCAUUAUGAUCCACCCAGCGGCUCUCGUAGGGAAACCAAAGUGUUUGGGUUCCGGGGGAAGUAUGAUUGCAAAGUUGAAACUUAAAGGAAUUGACGGAAGGGCACCACCAGGAGUGGAGCCUGCGGCUUAAUUUGACUCAACACGGGGAAACUUACUAGAUUAGAACUCUGGAAUGAUUGACAGAUUGAUAGCUCUUUCUUGAUUCAGAGGAUGGUGGUGCAUGGCCGUUCUUGAUUCGUAUUCCGAAACGUCUGCUUAAUUGCGAUAACGAGUGAGACCUCACCCAACUAACUAGUCGUUUGGUGCGCUGUUGGAACGCAAAAGUCUUUGCAAGUUCUUGUAUGUAUGGGCAGGUUUCGAUUUGUUCAUGCAUGCUCCUUGUAUAAGAUGUUCUCUGCUCGCCAGCGGACUUCUUAGAGGGAUAAAACGGUGUUUUAGCCGUAAGAAACGAG
Molecule: ribosomal RNA, 1817 nt
Filed under: Phyllocoptes machilus
Lineage: Eukaryota; Metazoa; Arthropoda; Arachnida; Trombidiformes; Eriophyidae
Description: bacterial SSU rRNA
Rfam family: Eukaryotic small subunit ribosomal RNA
Source: RNAcentral